This 79-nucleotide transfer RNA is filed under the name Cordylochernes scorpioides. Its description in RNAcentral is "tRNA-Ile". The stretch from base 4 to 69 matches the Rfam family "tRNA". From Rfam's summary of the family: Transfer RNA (tRNA) molecules are approximately 80 nucleotides in length. Their secondary structure includes four short double-helical elements and three loops (D, anti-codon, and T loops). The record is from RNAcentral. Lineage: Eukaryota; Metazoa; Arthropoda; Arachnida; Pseudoscorpiones; Chernetidae.
GAAAGGGUAGCCUAUUGUACAUGGUAUCUGCCCGAUAAGCGGAACACUGUGGGUUCGAUUCCCAUCCCUGGACACUUUA